GCCUGGGUGGCUCAGUCGGUUAAGCAUCUGACUUCAGCCCAGGUCAUAUCUCAUGGUUCGUGAGUUUGAGCCCCGCUUCGGGCU
Felis catus (domestic cat) is the source of this 84-nucleotide non-coding RNA. Lineage: Eukaryota; Metazoa; Chordata; Mammalia; Carnivora; Felidae. The record is from Rfam.